RNA transcript from Sceloporus undulatus (fence lizard), 3721 nucleotides. It is a transcript of the gene named non-SMC condensin II complex subunit G2, with no coding region annotated. The transcript has 29 exons. NCBI's taxonomy places the organism in Eukaryota, Metazoa, Chordata, Lepidosauria, Squamata, Phrynosomatidae. The record is from RefSeq and is a predicted model, not a curated record.
GUGAGCGCCGAAGGAUGGUUCUUUUAGUGACGCCGCCCGCGGGAGAAUUCGAACCGGAUGGCGAGAGAGCGCGCGCGCUAAACUGAAAAGAUGGAUUCUUUGUUACUCUUGUGAAUUAUAAAAUAAUACAACAUGACAAAACGCGAGGCUUUUCUAAAAGCUGUACUUAAUGGUGCCACUGAUGAGUUCUUGCAUUACAUCCAGCUUCAUAAAGCUGUAGCUGAUCCAUUUGACCUGAAUGAGCUGCUUCAAGAAUUAUCAAGGAAACAGAAAGAAGCAUUAUGGGAGUCAUUAAAGCAAAUGUUAGCUCACGUUUUGGUGGAAGAUCCAGUAGAAGAAUGGCAGAGAGCUGGUGAAGACCGUGACGAUGACAUGGAAACUGAAAGGGCCUCUAAAAAGGAACAAACCACAGCUGUGAUUCAAGGUGUGACAACUGUAGUUACUACUUCCAUACCCAUAGUAGAUGAAAAUAUAAACUCCAACGCUCUUUUAGAAUGUGCUCUGAUAUUAAAUGGCAUUCUUUAUGCUUUACCUGACACUGAAAAGCCUUUGUUGGGAGCCAUCCAGAGCCUGUGUGAACAGUGGUGGACAAAGGGACUUGAAGGAAAAGAACCAUUUGGGAAAACUGCUUUCAUCCUGUUUCUGAAAAACAGCCUUGAGAAGAAAACUGUUAUGGGAGCAGAUGUAAUCCGUCUGUGGCAUCUUCAUCGUGCUUUAUUGUGUUUUGAUUACGAUUCAGAGGAGAGUAACAAAGUGAAGGAUUUGUUACUUCAGUGCUUUAUGAGUGUUGGCCAUAUUAAAAAAGAAGAGGGAAGAAGAUUCCUGAGUUUUCUUUUCACAUGGAAUGUAAACUUUAUUAAACUGAUACAUGGGACUGUGAAAAAUCAAUUGCAGUGUUUCCCUAGGUCCUUGAUGACACAUAUUGCUGAAAUUUAUUUUCGAGCAUGGAAGAAAGCUUCAGGGGAGAUACUGGAGGUAAUUGAACAUAGCUGCAUUCAGGAUUUCAUGCAUCAUGCAAUUCAUCUCCCCAGGAAGUCUCCAUUGCACCCCAAAGUGCGAGAGUUGCUGAGCUAUUUCCACAAACAAAAUAAAUGCCGUCAAGGAGUUGAGGAAGUUCUCUACAGACUUUAUCAGCCUCUUCUUUGGAGAGCACUAAAGGCCAGAAACUCAGAAGUUCGAUCAAAUGCGGCAUUACUGUUUGUUGAUGCAUUUCCUAUUUUGGAUCCUGGUUUGAAUAGAGAAGAUACUGAUAACGAAAUCCAAAGGCAAUUUGAUGAACUUUUCAGUCUCUUGGAGGAUCCUCAGCCUCUCGUCCGUUCAACUGGCGUGCUUGGCGUUAGUAAAAUAGCAUUCAAAUAUUGGGAAAUGAUUCCUGCAAGUGUGCUUACUGAUCUCUUGAAAUCUCUAAUUGAAGAUCUUGCGUGUGAUGCAACAUCAGCUGAUGUUCGAUGCUCUGUUUUUAAGUGCUUGCCUAUAAUUUUGGACAACGUACUAAGCCACCCAUUAUUGGAACAGCUCCUGCCAGCUCUGAAAUACAAUCUCCAUGACAAUUCAGAGAAAGUUAGAGUGGCUUUUGUUGAUAUGUUGCUGAAAAUUAAGUCUGUCAAGGCUGCUAAGUUUUGGAAAAUUUGUCCUAUAGAGCAUCUCUUAACCCGCCUUGAGAUUGAUUCACGGCCUGUGGCACGGCGCAUAGUAAAUCUUCUGUUCAGCUCUUUCUUGCCUGUCGAUCAGCCAGAAGAAGUGUGGUGUGAGCGCUGUGUUACGCUAAUCCAAAUGAAUCCAUCUGCAGCUAGAAAGUUCUAUCAGUUUGCGUAUGAGUACACUAGCCCAACCAACAUAGCUAAACUGAUGCUUACCAUUCAGAGCUGUUUGAAUGCCUGUAUCCAGCAGGGAUUAAAGACUUCUGACAGUGGUGAUGAAGACAGUGAAAAAGAAAACAUGAGUGUUUCAAAUGAUGUAUUAUCUGUCAAUGAUGUACCUUCUAUGGCCAGCUUGCUUGAAGUUAUUGUGAUCCUCUGGAGAAGUAUUCAUAAAGCACUUGAUCGUAACGAAGGAGCAAAAAAUCAUAUUGUCCAAAAAUUUGCUUCUGUACUACCUGACUAUUUAAAAAUAUUUAAGGAUGAUCGUUGUGUAUCUCCAAUAAUAAUUCUGGCAUCUUUCAUGCCACCUGCAACUAUUCCUACAUUCAGUUGUGGUGUGAUCUCUAAACUAAAGAAGCUGGAAAAUGGUGCAACUGAAAAUAAAUACUCUACUCUGCUUGACUGUUUGUGCCGCUGGGGAAAAGUAGGACACGUUCUUGAGUUAAUCUGUGACUGGAUAGCUGCAGAACCAAACAACAGAGAGAGUAAUGGGGUGUCUGAACGGCGAGUACGUAUCCAAGAAACGCAUGAAUCAAAACCAGAAUUGGCUCUUGAUUAUAUAGAAUACUUACUGACUCAUUACAUGAAUCGGGAUUGUCUGUUGUCGCUACCCAAAGAGAAAUUGAGCCAACUUUUGAAAGUUCUCGAAGCCGCAAAGAACAGUCUAGAAUCUUACCUUAGAGAAACUGAUACAAGGUCUCCUGGCUUUUACCAAGCAACUGCACUGAGAGCCUUUGGUCUGUACUGUAGAUUAAACAUACAUCUUCAAUACAAGUUUGCCUCUGACAAUCAAGAUUACCUGUCAGCUUUGGAGGAAACAGGGGUGUGGAUAGAAAAUAGUAUUCUACCUGCUCUUUUAACAGAUGAAGAAGGCAGUUCAGAUCACUCCAGUGAAAUCUCUCAGCUGGUUGUCCAGACUUAUCUGACAGUGUGCAAAGAUUUUAUUGCUGUUGGUCUUGGUGAUUCAGAGUUUCAAGCACGCAUUCUGACCAUGGGGGCUGUGAUUAUACAUGGAGGCAGAGGCUGUGUUUUCAUCCCGGUGUUACUUGGCAUCUUGAGAGAGAUGGUUGAAGCUUCAUUAGCCCUUAACACUGACAGCGACCAUUUUAUGGAACUUCUUGACAAUAUUCAGAAGAUGUUCCAGAAGAUUCUAGAGUGUAUGGCCCUCCAGCUCAGAAGACAGCAAGAAAAGGGAAUUCGGUUAAUUCAGUCUGUGCAAGAGCCUCUUGGAGAAUUCAUACAUAUAGUCCAGUCUUGUAGUAUGACCUGUUCAGCUGUUUACCAUGGGGUCCUUUCUUCCUUAUUAGCUGCAGCAGUAGUUGAGACAGGUUACAUCCUGCAACGUAAGGCAUCAAAUCCAGAAGACUUGACUCCACCAAAGACUCUGUCAGACCUUCCUCCACUGUCAAAUGCUUUAAUGACAGUAGUGAAUAAAUCAGUAAAUGUGGUCAAAUCUUUUGUAAACGAGUUGAUGGAAUCCAUUGAAUCUGAAGAAAUUGAAGGAAUUAUUAGUCUUACUGCAACUGUUUACAUUGUUGCUGUAAUUAAAGACUCUUGGACAUCUCAUCAAAACUGAAUAAAAACUAGUCAUAGAACCAGUGAUUGUUUAAAGAACCAGAACUGGACGUAAACAAGGGGUGGAGAGGAAAAGAGUGAGAGAAAUACUGUGACCUGCUCCCCUCAAAUGGGUUGUGUUGGGGAAGAGACAUUUAACUUGUUAUAAAAGAUCUGCAGGGAGCAGGUAAGAAUAAACCUUCAUAUGUGAAAGAUAUUGCAUCUGCCCUUCAAAGGAAGCUAACUUCAUACAGUGAGAUUACAAAGGAAGACAUUGGCAGUGUGCAAAGAAUCCUGUAUGAAACUGC